UUCCUGUCUUUGAAGUCAUCUAGAAUUCUUGGUCUGAACACUAAAGUGUAUUUAGUGCUUUCAUCUGAGGCAGUGGAUUGGCAAAACUUUGGCUGGGACCAUUGUAUCUCAUUAGAUAAGUGAUUUUUAACUCAAAUUCAUACUUGGGCAAAUAGACAUGGGGAUUUCAGGUAGGAAGGCUUUGUAUUCCGAGUUGUGUCACCAAGGGAUGGAAGAGCUGUAUGCUUUGGUAAAUGUGCUGCUGCAGUCCUGUUUGCUGUCACUAAGCAGAAGCUAACAUGCAGGAGGCUUUCACAACUGUACAAUUUGCCUGUUGUCUGACCAUAAUCGAAAAUUACAAAUCCUUUCAAAACAAAUGCAUCAUUCCAGAAGUUACGGCUUCUGAGCAUGUUGUUAUACUGCAACUUGCAGCAUGAUUAAUUUUUGCCCCAUAAUUCUGCCAUCUACACCUUUCAUAUGCAGAGCAACCCCAGUUAGAUGCCUGUGACACUCCUGAACGCCACCAGUGUCUGUUGCCAAUCAGAAUUUAGUGAUCUGCUCUUACAUCAACACUGUAGGGUUAUCUUAAAUGAAGUUGCAGCUAAAUCGUGACUCAGGUUUCGACAGUCACCACUCAAGGAAUGACAUGUUCUUUGCACGAUACCUUUGUUUUCUUUUGGGAAAGGUGCUCAUCUCUUGGGCUUAGUUUGUGGCAAAUGACUCACAUUGUUUUUACCAUCUACUGUCAAGCACAUGAGGAUGAACCCUGUUCAGAGCUGCUGUAAUUUUCUGUCUGUUAAGCUUUAAUGUAUUUCCUAGGGAAUAAACACAUAUCACUUAGA
This is a long non-coding RNA of Pseudopipra pipra, 821 nucleotides long. RefSeq lists it as uncharacterized. NCBI's taxonomy places the organism in Eukaryota, Metazoa, Chordata, Aves, Passeriformes, Pipridae. The record is from RefSeq and is a predicted model, not a curated record. The transcript has 2 exons.